UACGGGGGGAGCAAGCGUUGUUCGGAUUUACUGGGCGUAAAGGGCGCGUAGGCGGUCGUGACAAGUCACUUGUGAAAUCUCCGGGCUUAACUCGGAACGGUCAAGUGAUACUGUCGGACUAGAGUACAGAAGGGGCAACUGGAAUUCUCGGUGUAGCGGUGAAAUGCGUAGAUAUCGAGAGGAACACCUGCGGCGAAGGCGGGUGGCUGGGCCGACACUGACGCUGAGGCGCGAAAGCCAGGGGAGCGAACGGG
This 254-nucleotide ribosomal RNA is filed under the name uncultured bacterium. RNAcentral describes it as "partial 16S ribosomal RNA". It matches the Rfam family "Bacterial small subunit ribosomal RNA", at positions 524 to 776 of the family's 1533-position model. The record is from RNAcentral.